Molecule: ribosomal RNA, 497 nt
Filed under: uncultured bacterium
Lineage: Bacteria
Description: partial 16S ribosomal RNA
Rfam family: Bacterial small subunit ribosomal RNA
Source: RNAcentral
GAUGAACGCUGGCGGCGUGCCUAAUACAUGCAAGUCGAGCGAACAGACGAGGAGCUUGCUCCUCUGACGUUAGCGGCGGACGGGUGAGUAACACGUGGAUAACCUACCUAUAAGACUGGGAUAACUUCGGGAAACCGGAGCUAAUACCGGAUAACAUGUUGAACCGCAUGGUUCAACAGUGAAAGACGGUCUUGCUGUCACUUAUAGAUGGAUCCGCGCCGCAUUAGCUAGUUGGUAAGGUAACGGCUUACCAAGGCAACGAUGCGUAGCCGACCUGAGAGGGUGAUCGGCCACACUGGAACUGAGACACGGUCCAGACUCCUACGGGAGGCAGCAGUAGGGAAUCAUCCGCAAUGGGCGAAAGCCUGACGGAGCAACGCCGCGUGAGUGAAGAAGGUCUUCGGAUCGUAAAACUCUGUUAUUAGGGAAGAACAAAUGUGUAAGUAACUAUGCACGUCUUGACGGUACCUAAUCAGAAAGCCACGGCUAACUACGUG